GACGAACGCUGGCGGCGUGCCUAAUACAUGCAAGUAGAACGCUGAAGGAGGAGCUUGCUUCUCUGGAUGAGUUGCGAACGGGUGAGUAACGCGUAGGUAACCUGCCUGGUAGCGGGGGAUAACUAUUGGAAACGAUAGCUAAUACCGCAUAAUAGUAGAUGUCGCAUGACAUUUGCUUAAAAGGUGCAAUUGCAUCACUACCAGAUGGACCUGCGUUGUAUUAGCUAGUUGGUGAGGUAACGGCUCACCAAGGCAACGAUACAUAGCCGACCUGAGAGGGUGAUCGGCCACACUGGGACUGAGACACGGCCCAGACUCCUACGGGAGGCAGCAGUAGGGAAUCUUCGGCAAUAGACGGAAGUCUGACCGAGCAACGCCGCGUGAGUGAAGAAGGUUUUCGGAUCGUAAAGCUCUGUUGUAAGAGAAGAACGAGGGUGAGAGUGGAAAGUUCACACUGUGACGGUAUCUUACCAGAAAGGGACGGCUAACUACGUG
RNAcentral lists this ribosomal RNA (495 nucleotides) under uncultured bacterium. RNAcentral describes it as "partial 16S ribosomal RNA". It matches the Rfam family "Bacterial small subunit ribosomal RNA", at positions 28 to 507 of the family's 1533-position model. The record is from RNAcentral.